Molecule: ribosomal RNA, 528 nt
Filed under: uncultured Pseudomonadota bacterium
Lineage: Bacteria; Pseudomonadati; Pseudomonadota
Description: bacterial SSU rRNA
Rfam family: Bacterial small subunit ribosomal RNA
Source: RNAcentral
AAAGCCUGACGCAGCAACGCCGCGUGAGUGAUGAAGGCCUUCGGGUCGUAAAGCUCUGUCAGAGGGGAAGAACCACCUGAAGGUUAAUAUCCUUCAGGCCUGACGGUACCCUCAAAGGAAGCACCGGCUAACUCCGUGCCAGCAGCCGCGGUAAUACGGAGGGUGCAAGCGUUGUUCGGAAUUAUUGGGCGUAAAGCGCGUGUAGGCGGUCUGUUAAGUCUGAUGUGAAAGCCCCGGGCUCAACCCGGGAAGUGCAUUGGAAACUGGCAGACUUGAGUACGGGAGAGGGUAGUGGAAUUCCGAGUGUAGGGGUGAAAUCCGUAGAUAUUCGGAGGAACACCGGUGGCGAAGGCGGCUACCUGGACCGAUACUGACGCUGAGACGCGAAAGCGUGGGGAGCAAACAGGAUUAGAUACCCUGGUAGUCCACGCCGUAAACGAUGGGUACUAGGUGUUGCGGGUAUUGAUCCCUGCAGUGCCGAAGCUAACGCAUUAAGUACCCCGCCUGGGGAGUACGGCCGCAAGGCUA